CCUACGGGAGGCAGCAGUGGGGAAUAUUGGGCAAUGGGCGAAAGCCUGACCCAGCAACGCCGCGUGAAGGAAGAAGGCUUUCGGGUUGGUAACUUCUUUUGACAGGGAAGAGCAGAAGACGGUACCUGUCGAAUAAGCCAUGGCUAACUACGUGCCAGCAGCCGCGGCAAUACGUAGGUGGCAAGCGGUGUCCGGAUUUACUGGGUGUAAAGGGCGUGUAGCCGGGCUGACAAGUCAGAUGUGAAAGCCGGGGGCUCAACCCCCGAUCGGCAGUUGAAACUGUUGGUCUUGAGUAUCGGAGGGGCAGGCGGAAUUCCUGGUGUAGCGGUGAAAUGCGUAGAUAUUAGGAGGAACACCCGUGGCGAAGGCGGCCUGCUGGACGACAACUGACGGUGAGGCGCGAAAGCGUGGGGAGCGAACAGGAUUAGAUACCCGAGUAGUC
RNAcentral lists this ribosomal RNA (442 nucleotides) under uncultured bacterium. Its description in RNAcentral is "partial 16S ribosomal RNA". It matches the Rfam family "Bacterial small subunit ribosomal RNA", at positions 338 to 795 of the family's 1533-position model. The record is from RNAcentral.